CGCGGAGUGGAGCAGUUUGGCAGCUCGUCGGGCUCAUAACCCGAAGGUCACAGGUUCAAGUCCUGUCUCCGCAA
RNAcentral lists this transfer RNA (74 nucleotides) under Mycoplasmopsis canis UFG4. RNAcentral's name for it is "Mycoplasma canis UFG4 tRNA". It matches the Rfam family "tRNA". Rfam says of the family: Transfer RNA (tRNA) molecules are approximately 80 nucleotides in length. Their secondary structure includes four short double-helical elements and three loops (D, anti-codon, and T loops). Lineage: Bacteria; Bacillati; Mycoplasmatota; Mycoplasmoidales; Metamycoplasmataceae. The record is from Rfam by way of RNAcentral.